AGAGUUUGAUCCUGGCUCAGGAUGAACGCUAGCGGCAGGCCUAAUACAUGCAAGUCGAACGGUGAUAGCAAUAUCAUAGUGGCGCACGGGUGCGUAACACGUAUGCAACCUACCUUAUACUGAGGGAUAGCCUUUCGAAAGGGAGAUUAAUACCUCAUAACACAUUGAACUGGCAUCAGUUUAUUGUUAAAGAUUUAUUGGUAUAAGAUGGGCAUGCGUCCAAUUAGUUAGCUGGCGAGGUAACGGCUCACCAAGACGAUGACUGGUAGGGGAACUGAGAGGUUAAUCCCCCACACUGGCACUGAGAUACGGGCCAGACUCCUACGGGAGGCAGCAGUAGGGAAUAUUGGGCAAUGGAGGCAACUCUGACCCAGCCAUGCCGCGUGCAGGAAGAAGGCGUUAUGCGUUGUAAACUGCUUUUAUAUAGGAAGAAAUAGACCUUGCGAGGUAAGUUGACGGUACUAUAUGAAUAAGCACCGGCUAACUCCGUGCCAGCAGCCGCGGUAAUACGGAGGGUGCAAGCGUUGUCCGGAUUUAUUGGGUUUAAAGGGUGCGUANGCGGUUUAUUAAGUCAGUGGUGAAAGACGGUCGCUCAACGAUUGCAGUGCCAUUGAUACUGGUAG
This 623-nucleotide ribosomal RNA is filed under the name uncultured bacterium. RNAcentral's name for it is "bacterial SSU rRNA". It matches the Rfam family "Bacterial small subunit ribosomal RNA", at positions 8 to 639 of the family's 1533-position model. The record is from RNAcentral.